Molecule: long non-coding RNA, 343 nt
Organism: Anolis carolinensis (green anole)
Lineage: Eukaryota; Metazoa; Chordata; Lepidosauria; Squamata; Anolidae
Exons: 3
Source: RefSeq, a predicted model, not a curated record
GAAACCACCCUUUCUCUGUUAGCCCUGGGAAAGGCAGGAAACCAAGGCUCUAGCCUCCAAGUAGUGAAAAGAAAAUACCUUUCACCUACCACCCAUAUGGUAUGAGAUUCUGAAGGCCAAAUUCCUGACAGAAGCCCACGGCAGCCUUUCUCUGGGGAACUGUCUUCUGAGGAUGAAUUCUCAGGUACUGGCACCAUGGAUUUCCAAGGGCAGCCACACGAAGUGGCUGUGUGUCAUGGCAUGGCCUCUGUGGGACUCCGUUUUUCCAGCGCCUGAAAAUAGAGAGAAGACGUAGAGAAGACAGUGUCUGGUAAGGUCCCUAGUUUGAAAUCCAGGUGGUCCU